This 273-nucleotide ribosomal RNA is filed under the name uncultured Acinetobacter sp. RNAcentral's name for it is "partial 16S ribosomal RNA". It matches the Rfam family "Bacterial small subunit ribosomal RNA", at positions 524 to 796 of the family's 1533-position model. The record is from RNAcentral. Lineage: Bacteria; Pseudomonadati; Pseudomonadota; Gammaproteobacteria; Moraxellales; Moraxellaceae.
UACAGAGGGUGCGAGCGUUAAUCGGAUUUACUGGGCGUAAAGCGUGCGUAGGCGGCUAAUUGAGUCGGAUGUGAAAUCCCCGAGCUUAACUUGGGAAUUGCAUUCGAUACUGGUUAGCUAGAGUGUGGGAGAGGAUGGUAGAAUUCCAGGUGUAGCGGUGAAAUGCGUAGAGAUCUGGAGGAAUACCGAUGGCGAAGGCAGCCAUCUGGCCUAACACUGACGCUGAGGUACGAAAGCAUGGGGAGCAAACAGGAUUAGAUACCCUGGUAGUCC